GUCUACAGCCAUGCCACCCUAAACAAGCCCGAUCCCAUCUGAUCUCAGAAGCUAAGCAGGGUCGGGCCUGGUUAGUACUUAGAUGGG
RNAcentral lists this microRNA precursor (87 nucleotides) under Pteropus vampyrus (large flying fox). Lineage: Eukaryota; Metazoa; Chordata; Mammalia; Chiroptera; Pteropodidae. The record is from RNAcentral.